AUUGAACGCUGGCGGCAUGCCUUACACAUGCAAGUCGAACGGCAGCACGGGUGCUUGCACCUGGUGGCGAGUGGCGAACGGGUGAGUAAUACAUCGGAACGUACCUUAUCGUGGGGGAUAACGCAGCGAAAGCUGUGCUAAUACCGCAUACGCCCUGAGGGGGAAAGCGGGGGAUCGCAAGACUUCGCGCGAUUAGAGCGGCCGAUGCCUGAUUAGCUUGUUGGUGGGGUAAAAGCCCACCAAGGCGACGAUCAGUAGCUGGUCUGAGAGGACGAUCAGCCACACUGGGACUGAGACACGGCCCAGACUCCUACGGGAGGCAGCAGUGGGGAAUUUUGGACAAUGGGGGCAACCCUGAUCCAGCAAUGCGGCGUGAGUGAAGAAGGCCUUCGGGUUGUAAAGCUCUUUUGUCAGGGAAGAAACACCGGCUCUAACACAGUCUGGAAUGACGGUACCUGAAGAAUAAGCACCGGCUAACUACGUGCCAGCCGCCGCGGUAA
RNAcentral lists this ribosomal RNA (500 nucleotides) under uncultured bacterium. RNAcentral describes it as "partial 16S ribosomal RNA". It matches the Rfam family "Bacterial small subunit ribosomal RNA", at positions 30 to 523 of the family's 1533-position model. The record is from RNAcentral.